AGUGAACGCUGGCGGUAGGCCUAACACAUGCAAGUCGAACGGCAGCACAGUAAGAGCUUGCUCUUACGGGUGGCGAGUGGCGGACGGGUGAGGAAUACAUCGGAAUCUACUUUUUCGUGGGGGAUAACGUAGGGAAACUUACGCUAAUACCGCAUACGACCUACGGGUGAAAGCAGGGGAUCUUCGGACCUUGCGCGAUUGAUUGAGCCGAUGUCGGAUUAGCUAGUUGGCGGGGUAAAGGCCCACCAAGGCGACGAUCCGUAGCUGGUCUGAGAGGAUGAUCAGCCACACUGGAACUGAGACACGGUCCAGACUCCUACGGGAGGCAGCAGUGGGGAAUAUUGGACAAUGGGCGCAAGCAUGAUCCAGCCAUACCGCGUGGGUGAAGAAGGCCUUCGGGUUGUAAAGCCCUUUUGUUGGGAAAGAAAAGCAGCAGGUUAAUACCCCGCUGUUCUGACGGUACCCAAAGAAUAAGCACCGGCUAACUUCGUG
This 492-nucleotide ribosomal RNA is filed under the name uncultured bacterium. Its description in RNAcentral is "partial 16S ribosomal RNA". It matches the Rfam family "Bacterial small subunit ribosomal RNA", at positions 29 to 507 of the family's 1533-position model. The record is from RNAcentral.